ACUCCUACGGGAGGCAGCAGUGGGGAAUAUUGCACAAUGGGGGAAACCCUGAUGCAGCCAUGCCGCGUGUGUGAAGAAGGGCCUUCGGGUUGUAAAGCACUUUCAGUAGGGAGGAAGGUAGUGUAGUUAACACCUGCACUAUUUGACGUUACCUACAGAAGAAGCACCGGCUAACUCCGUGCCAGCAGCCGCGGUAAUACGGAGGGUGCGAGCGUUAAUCGGAAUUACUGGGCGUAAAGCGCAUGCAGGCGGCCUGUUAAGUCAGAUGUGAAAGCCCGGGGCUUAACCUCGGAAUUGCAUUUGAAACUGGCAGGCUAGAGUCUUGUAGAAGGGGGGUAGAAUUUCAGGGUGUAGCGGUGAAAAUGCGUAGAGAUCUGAAGGAAUACCAGUGGCGAAGCGGCCCCCUGGACAAAGCUGACGCUCAGAUGCGAAAGGCUGGGGG
RNAcentral lists this ribosomal RNA (442 nucleotides) under uncultured bacterium. Its description in RNAcentral is "bacterial SSU rRNA". It matches the Rfam family "Bacterial small subunit ribosomal RNA", at positions 335 to 767 of the family's 1533-position model. The record is from RNAcentral.